RNAcentral lists this ribosomal RNA (450 nucleotides) under uncultured Glomeromycotina. RNAcentral's name for it is "SSU rRNA". It matches the Rfam family "Eukaryotic small subunit ribosomal RNA", at positions 569 to 1025 of the family's 1831-position model. Lineage: Eukaryota; Fungi; Glomeromycota. The record is from RNAcentral.
AGCAGCCGCGGUAAUUCCAGCUCCAAUAGCGUAUAUUAAAGUUGUUGCAGUUAAAAAGCUCGUAGUUGAAUUUCGGGACUAAUAUGUCGGUCGUACUUUGUACGUACUAGCAUUAUUGGUUUCUCCCUUCUGACGAACCACGAUGUCAUUAAUUUGGUGUCAUGGGGAAUCAGGACUGUUACUUUGAAAAAAUUAGAGUGUUUAAAGCAAGCUCGCGCUUGAAUACAUUAGCAUGGAAUAAUGAAAUAGGACGUUUGAUUCUAUUUUGUUGGUUUCUAGGAUCGACGUAAUGAUUAAUAGGGAUAGUUGGGGGCAUUAGUAUUCAAUUGUCAGAGGUGAAAUUCUUGGAUUUAUUGAAGACUAACUACUGCGAAAGCAUUUGCCAAGGAUGUUUUCAUUAAUCAAGAACGAAAGUUAGGGGAUCGAAGACGAUCAGAUACCGUCGUAGUC